AUACGUAGGUGGCAAGCGUUGUCCGGAAUUAUUGGGCGUAAAGCGCGCGCAGGCGGACGUGCAAGUCGGGGGUGAAAUCCCAGGGCUCAACCCUGGGACUGCUUUCGAUACUGCAUGUCUAGGGACCGGUAGAGGCUGGUGGAAUUCCCGGUGUAGCGGUGGAAUGCGUAGAUAUCGGGAAGAACACCUGUGGCGAAGGCGGCCAGCUGGGCCGGAUCCGACGCUGAGGCGCGAAAGCGUGGGGAGCAAACAGGAUUAGAUACCCUGGUAGUCCACGCCGUAAACGAUGGGUGCUAGAUGCCGGGGGGAGCGACCCCUUCGGUGUCACAGCUAACGCGUUAAGCACCCCGCCUGGGGAGUACGGCCGCAAGGCUGAA
RNAcentral lists this ribosomal RNA (377 nucleotides) under uncultured bacterium. RNAcentral describes it as "bacterial SSU rRNA". It matches the Rfam family "Bacterial small subunit ribosomal RNA", at positions 523 to 898 of the family's 1533-position model. The record is from RNAcentral.